UCUCUGAUACAAUGUCAAUAUGCAUAUAUUAUAUAUUACUUGCUAAUUACAUAUAAAAUACACAAUUGGAAAUUAAAAUUUUAACAUUUAGAGCAGCAUCAAAAAACACAAUGUCUUAGAGAUAAAUUUAAUAAAAGGCAUUUGAAAUAAAAUGUGAAAAUAGCAAAACAUUGCUGUUAUUUAGGAAGACCUGAAUAAAAGGAGAUAAUUACUAUGUUUAUGAAUUAGAAGAUAGAGUAUUGUGAAGAUGUUACUUUUCUGCAACUGACAUAUGUAGAUUCAAUGCAGUCCCAAUCAAUAUCCCAGCAGGAACUUUUAAAAAUGAAAAUUGACAAGCUGAUUCUAAAAUUUAUAUGAAAAUGCGAAAGACUACAAUAGCCAAGAUAAUAAUGGAGAAGAGCAAAGUUGGAGGACUUAUACUACCAGAUACCAAGACUUAAUGUAAAGCUACAAUAAUCAAGACAGUGUGGUAUUGGUGCAAAGACCAGCAAAUGGAACAGAACAGCCUCCAGCAACGCAUCCAUCCAUAUGCAUCACUUGAUUUAUGACAAAGGAAGCGCUGCCCUCAGUUGUGAGAAUAUUGUUCUUUUCAAUCAAUUGGGCUGGAUUAAUUGGAUAUCCAUUUAGGGAAAGAAAAAAAUCCUUGAUUUCAUACCUUACAUCAUUCACAAUAUUAAUUUAAAAUUAAUGAUGGAUCUACAUUUAGAAGAAAAUCUAGAUAAUAUCUUCCUGACAUUGACAGUAGACAAAAGUUUCCUAAACAAGUCACAAAAAAGCACUAAACAUAAAAACUAUUGAUGUAUUGGACCACAUUGAAAUGAAAAACUGUUCAUCAGAAGAUUGCAUUUAAGAGGUAAAAAAGCAAACCAGACUGGGAAAAGUUAUUUGCAAUACACAUAUCUGACAAAGGACUUCUAUCCAGAAUAUAUACAGAGCUUCUACAAGCCAGUAAGAAAAAGACUAACAACUCAACUUAAAACUGACCAAAAGAUUUGAACUGGCAUUUUGCAAAAUAUGAUAUCCAAAUAUUUAAUAAACAUAUGAAAAUUGCCCAACAUAAUUAGUCACCAGGGAAAUUAAAUGAAAACCAUAGUGAGAUACAAGUACACACAUACCAGAAUGAAAUGAAUACAAUUAAAAAGACAGGCAGUACUGUUUGUGAACCAUUUUCAGAAAACAAUUUUGCAGUAUCUACUAAAGCUAAACAAAUCCCUAUCCCAUGAUCUAGCAAUUCCACUUAGGUCUCUGCCUAAGAGAAAUGAGUUCAAAUAUCCAACAAAAGACAUAUAUGAGACUGGGCAUGGUGCUUCUCAUCUGUAAUCCCGGCACUUUUGGUGGCUGAGGCAGGAGGAUCACUUGAGCCAGGAGUUCAAGACCAGCCUGGGCAACACGGUGAAACCCCAUCUCUACAAAAAUUACAAAAAUUAGCUGGGUGAGGAGGCUGAAGUGGGAAGACCACUUGAGCCCAGACGUUGAGGCUGCCGUGAACCGAGAUGGUACCACCGCACUCCAGCCUAGGCAACAGAGUGAGAUCCAGUCUAAAAAAAGAAAAAAGAAAAGAAAAAAAGACAUAUAUGAGACUGUUCAUAGUAGCUGUUUAGCCACCUCCUUCAUCACCACCACCACUGUUUCUACUUCCAUCAUCCUCAUCAUUACCACCACUAUCACCAUAACGCCAUCACCACCAUUACCAAAACUCAACCAUCACCACCAAUACCUAUGUAACCAGCAGACGCCAUAGUCAUUUGGUCACUGCAACCACUGUCACCAGCAUCAUCAAAAUCUCUACCGUGACCACCACCAUCAUCACUAUUACCACGCUUCCAUCCUUCGGAGUCUGGGCUUAUUCAUUCCAGGAAACUAAAGCUGUUAAACUGGGCUCCCAGCCAGCGGCACCCCCAUUGACCACGGUGCUCCCUGUUCCCACAGCUAGGGCUGAGUUCCUCUGUGUACCCCCUCUCCUCUUCACCCUGUUUUUGUCUGCAGACUGCAUUCCUUCCUCAGGAGCAGUAAGUCUCCACUUCUCCUGACGCGAUUGAGGAUAGGACAGAUGGAAGGCCUGCAGGGACCUUAGCAGCCGGCUGGGCCCCGCAGGGCGCAUACCCAGCCCUCGCUAGAGGGCAGCAGAGCACCAUGCCCCUGCGACCCGGGUUCAUCACAAAGGAAGCUUUGUGGAGUGCAGGCCUGCGCUUUGCAGCUCGCUCCUGAGCCAGUGCCCAGCCCCAGGAGGGGCUGACCAGCUGAUGCGUGGUGAGAGACGAGCAGGCCCUCAAGAUGCACUCUCCGAGAGAGUGAAGAAAGCAACACGAGUAAUCAGGGGGCCCUCCCACCAACCCCCUGCCCCCCGGUCCAUCCUCUUCAAUCCACUCUCCUCCAGUUAGCCCAGCCAUCCUUCCCUGGAAAAACCCUGCCCUGGCUUACUCUCGGGCCUCUGAAGAGUGUCUGAGCUCCCAGCUUGGGACUCGAGGCCAUUUGGGCUCUUGCUCCUGCUGAUCCCUCCGGCUGUGGUCUCCACCACCCUGCACCCCUACCUCCCGCGCUCCAGUCCCCAAAGCUUUGCUUCCAUCCUCUGCUUGUGCCGGUGGUUCUCCCUCUUUCAGGAGUGCUGUCUUCCACUGGGUGGACUCGUCCUGCAAGCUUUCCCUAGAACGCCUUCCCUGCCACCCCCUACCCGCCAGGACAGGUCAGAGCCCGCCUCUGAGUCCCCACAGUCUCCCGGGCUCCCCUCCGUUGCAGCACUGAUCACACUGGGCUUCUCUCUUCCUGUCUGCUGGGCAGCAGAGACUGUGGAUGCUUCAUCCCUGAGGUCUAUGAGCCAGCGCAGGGCCCAGCACACACUGGGAGCUUAGCAAACAUGGGUGGAAGGAAAGAAAGGAGCCAGGAAGGAGGCAGGGGUGCUGGUGAGAGGCCUGCUGGGCGCUUCUCUGUGUCCUUCCUCAGCCUCCAUCUCUCUUCCCUCCCUUCCUCUGGGGGCUAACAAAAAACACUCAACUCCAUGAUGCGAGGAUUCAUUUAGGGACUCAUUUGUCAUGGAGAUCAUCAGCUCCUGUCACAAAGCUGCUCUCAAAUGCACCCAGAAACAGGGUGACAUUCUUCUCGCUUGGGCCAAGCUGGCCUCUCAGACCAAACUGUCCGAUGCAAAUCUAGAAUCCCCAGAGGGUGGAGGCCAGGCUCUACUAGGCCCAGGUGAGCCCCCGUGUCGCUGCUCUCUGCUCUUUCCAGCACCCCAGCAGCACAUUACACAGGAGGGCUUAUGGCCAUUUUUCAGCUAGAGACUGAAGUCUUGGUGGGAAGAGGCAGAGCCCAGUCUGGGGCUCACCCUGCAAGGCAGCGUGGCACAGUACUGAGGUGGAGCGGAGAUGAGAAAGAAGGUCUGUGAGGAAGGAGGUUCUUCUUAUAUCACAUGACAAUCAUCUAUCAUUGCUCCACUUGUACCCCACGCAGAGGAAAAGCCAGAUGGGUCCAGGGCCUGUUGUGAAAUUUUUGCCAACAGAGCUUGCUGUCCAUCUAUAAUUAAAACAUGAGUGGAGGCCAUAGGACUCAUUACAUUUCCCAAAAUUCUCCAUGCAGAGAUCAUUGAAUUCACUUCUGUCUGGCUCACUACUGCAUUUUACAGAUGGGAAAACGAAAGGAGGCCAGUACAGGCUGGGGCAGCAGUUGCAUUCGUGGGAGAGCCGAGACUCUAGGGAGAGAUGGAGAGCCAUAGAAACCCAUUGGUGCCCCUGGGCCACCACUCUUUCCUCUAACUGCCUGCCCCCGCCACCCCCACCCCAGAGGAUACUAAAGUCAGGCUUUCCACUAGACGAGGAGCUUUUUUUUUUUUUUCCUUUCUUUCUUUCUUUUUCUUGAGACAAAGUCUCACUCUAUUGCCUAGGCUAGAGUGCAAUGGCGUGAUUUUGGCUCACUACAACCUCCGCCUCUUGGGUUCAAGUGAUUCUUCUGCCUCAGCCUCCCAAGUAGCUGGGAUUACAGGCAUCCACCACCAUGCCCGGCUAAUUUUUUGUACUUUUAGUAGAAACAGUGUUUCAUCAUGUUGGUCAGGCUGGUCUUGAACUCCUGACCUCAGGUAAUCCACUCGCCUCAGCCUCUUAAAGUGCUGGGAUUACAGGCAUGAGCCAAUGAGCUUUUUGAGCGUGAGGAUCACAUCCCAAUGCCCAGAACAGGGCCUGAUGCAGAGCCGCAUCCUCUAAAUGUCUGUUUGGUGAUGGGAUGAUGGUCCAACAAGAGGAAAUGAAACAUCCUAAAGCCUGGUUUUGUCUUUUAGUAAAGACAAGCCUCUAUGGAUGGUUGGGAAAUCAAAAGACUCCAGGGUUGUUGAAACUCCCUGUCAUUUCCAGGAUCUAGCUCUUCUUCUAGGAAUAUACAUAGCUUUCCCCUGAGUCAAUGUCUGCCUACCAUUCGCCCGGGAAUGACUUACCUAUGAACUGGAUAUUUUCCUCUAAAAAUGGUAAGUCACUAUGUAAAAAUGUCAAGGGCCAUUAAAGUCCAUCUCUUGCACAAUGAUGCCUUCAUGUAUCUGGAACCUUCUGGGUCAGAGGAUGGGAAUUAAUAUUUAUUGAACAAUGGGCACUUCUUUACUUCAUUUUAACUAAUAGUCAAAGUCUGGGCCUGACACCAUGAUUGUCCUCAUUUUACAGAUGAGGAAACGGGCUCAGAGAUGUUCAGUAACUUGCCCUAAGUCCAGAACCACUUUGGGCAGGUAGGCAAGUGGCAGAGCGGGGAUCUUUCUCUUGCCAGUCCCUAGCUUCCAUCCUCUCCUUUCUGCAGCCUGCUUCCUUGAUCUGUUUUGCAAAGCUGAACUUCUUGGAUAACUGAAGUUGAACUUUUAAAUAGACAACUUGCCUUAGUUUAACCAUCUCUGUUGAAACAUGUUUCCAUACCAUCUUGCACACUGCCCUGCCUUCUUCACUGGGAGACCCUGAGUGAUUCCCUUCUUUCUUUCUUUCUUUCCUUUCUUUCUUUCUUUCUUUCCUUCUUUCUUUCUUUCCUUCCUUCUUCCUUCCUUUUUCUUUCUUUCUGUCUCUUUCUUUUUCUUUCUCUCUCUCUCUCUUUCUUUCUUUCUUUCUCUCUCUCUCUCUCUUUCUUGCUUUCUUUUUUGACAGAGUCUUGCCCUGUUGCCCAGGCUGGAGUGCAGUUACACAAUUGCGGCUCACUGCAACCUCCACCUCCCAGGUUCAAGCGAUUCUU
This 5187-nucleotide long non-coding RNA is filed under the name Homo sapiens (human). RNAcentral describes it as "HSALNT0154278". The record is from RNAcentral. Lineage: Eukaryota; Metazoa; Chordata; Mammalia; Primates; Hominidae.